UUAUUCCUACGGGGGGCAGCAGUGAGGAAUAUUGGUCAAUGGACGCAAGUCUGAACCAGCCGUGCCGCGUGCAGGAUGACGGCUCUAUGAGUUGUAAACUGCUUUUGUACGAGGGUAAACCCCGAUACGUGUAUCGGGUUGAAAGUAUCGUACGAAUAAGGAUCGGCUAACUCCGUGCCAGCAGCCGCGGUAAUACGGAGGAUCCGAUCGUUAUCCGGAUUUAUUGGGUUUAAAGGGUGCGUAGGCGGUCCGGAAAGUCAGCGGUAAAAGCCCGGGGCUCAACCCCGGCGAGCCGUUGAAACUGU
This 305-nucleotide ribosomal RNA is filed under the name uncultured bacterium. RNAcentral describes it as "bacterial SSU rRNA". It matches the Rfam family "Bacterial small subunit ribosomal RNA", at positions 333 to 636 of the family's 1533-position model. The record is from RNAcentral.